Molecule: ribosomal RNA, 701 nt
Filed under: uncultured Tulasnellaceae
Lineage: Eukaryota; Fungi; Basidiomycota; Agaricomycetes; Cantharellales; Tulasnellaceae
Description: eukaryotic LSU rRNA
Rfam family: 5.8S ribosomal RNA (bases 186-339)
Source: RNAcentral
UCCGUAGGUGAACCUGCGGAAGGAUCCCUAAACAGAAUUACACGGUUGUGCUGGUUCUUCACAAGUGCACACCGUUAUUUCUUCAUUCACCCCAUGUGCACCUAUGCGUCGCCGGUGUUCGCCGGCUUCGCCUUAUUUUACAAACUCUUCGUAUUGAAUGUCUUGAUGAAAUAAUAAUAAAAUACAACUAUCAACAACGGAUCUCUUGGCAUCCCACUCGAUGAAGAACGCAGCGAAUUGCGAUAAGUAAUGUGAAUUGCAGAAUUCAGUGAAUCAUCGAAUCUUUGAACGCACCUUGCACCUUCCAGUACUCUGGAAGGUAUGCCCGGUUGAGUAUUAUGAUCACCUCAAACCUAUGAUUUUCUUAUUGCAAAGACCAAUGCUCUGACGAAAGCACUCAUUGGGGUGCUAGUAGUUGCUGCUUGGUUUGGAAGAUCUUAGGUCUUGGACUUGAGCACUGUUGGCUCCCUCUGGAUCAACUUGCUUGAAAUGUAUUAGCUGGCGACCUGCCUUCAAUGGUUACCACUCGGCGUAGUAAGUCUUAUUCGUCGAGGACACCUUGUACCUUCAUCGGAACAGGUGGCCAUUGUGCUGUGUCUUGAUAGCCGCUUCUAAUCGUCUCUGGACAACAUAACGAACUCUUUAAUCUCAACUCGGGUAGGACUACCCGCUGAACUUAAGCAUAUCAAUAAGCGGAGGAA